UUAAAUUCAAUAAAAAUUCUGCAUGUUAUGCAUAUACCAUGAAUAAAUUCUAUACUAUGUAUCCCUUUCAUUCCACUUUCAUACAACAAGUAAAACCUCAUAAAUCAUGUGCAUUAAAAGAAAAAUUCAGCAUUCAUGUAUGUAAGACCCCAAUUUUGUCCCUAAGAUCCCUCAUGGCAUCAUAUCAUAUCAUUGCAUUGCCUCAAGGAUCAUUGAACACCUUGCCUACUUCCUUGUGGGCGGGUUAUCUUUUUGAGAGUGAUUCUUG
RNAcentral lists this long non-coding RNA (268 nucleotides) under Lathyrus oleraceus (garden pea). RNAcentral describes it as "Pisum sativum (pea) long non-coding RNA (PSAT_LNC030772)". The record is from RNAcentral. Lineage: Eukaryota; Viridiplantae; Streptophyta; Magnoliopsida; Fabales; Fabaceae.